GGGGAUAUAGCUCAGUUGAUUAGAGUGCUUCCAUGGCAUGGAAGAAGUCGAGGGUUUGAGUCCCUCUAUCUCCACCA
This 77-nucleotide transfer RNA is filed under the name Chloroflexota bacterium. RNAcentral's name for it is "Chloroflexi bacterium tRNA-Ala". It matches the Rfam family "tRNA". From Rfam's summary of the family: Transfer RNA (tRNA) molecules are approximately 80 nucleotides in length. RNAcentral also lists the same sequence under 1 other name. The record is from RNAcentral. Lineage: Bacteria; Bacillati; Chloroflexota.